AACGAACGCUGGCGGCAUGCCUAAUACAUGCAAGUCGAACGAGACCUUCUGGUCUAGUUGCGAACGGGUUCGUAACGCGUGGGAACCUUCCCUUAGGUUCGGAAUAACUCCCCGAAAGGGGUGCUAAUACCGGAUAAUGUCUUCGGACCAAAGAUUUAUCGCCUUUGGAUGGGCCCGCGUUGGAUUAGCUAGUUGGUAAGGUAAAAGCCUACCAAGGCGACGAUCCAUAGCUGGUCUGAGAGGAUGAUCAGCCACACUGGGACUGAGACACGGCCCAGACUCCUACGGGAGGAAGCAGUGGGGAAUAUUGGACAAUGGGCGAAAGCAUGAUCCAGCAAUGCCGCGUGAGUGAUGAAGGCCUUAGGGUUGUAAAGCUCUUUUACCCGGGAUGAUAAUGACAGUACCGGGAGAAUAAGCUCCGGCUAACUCCGUG
This 433-nucleotide ribosomal RNA is filed under the name uncultured bacterium. RNAcentral describes it as "partial 16S ribosomal RNA". It matches the Rfam family "Bacterial small subunit ribosomal RNA", at positions 29 to 507 of the family's 1533-position model. The record is from RNAcentral.